This 596-nucleotide long non-coding RNA is filed under the name Homo sapiens (human). Its description in RNAcentral is "HSALNT0271806". Lineage: Eukaryota; Metazoa; Chordata; Mammalia; Primates; Hominidae. The record is from RNAcentral.
UUAAUCAAGUUUGGGGGGAUUUCUGAUGUAACAUGUUACAAAUGAAGAACAUAGCAAAAAGAGUGCAGAGACCACCAUUUUCCGGAAACAACUAGCGUGAGCAUUAACUGACACUCAAAUGACGUGACAGGUGUUAGUAGUAACAAAAAUAUCCAAACAUACUCCUUCAUUUUCUUUGUGAUGAAAUCUCACCAAACUGUAAAUAUCCGAAAAUGAAGAUCACCUCAGAAUGAAGGGAAAACAGUAAGGACAAGAUGAACAAAAAUCAGGAUAAAGAAGAUAGACUUCGUGUUUGGCUCACUUUUAAUGAGAUCUUCUCAUUAUCUACUAUGCAAGUAUGUAUGAGGAUAUUUUUUAAAUACACUUAUAUUUAUAGGUUUCAAAUAUUUCCUUUUCUUAGUCCUUGUAUUAGUCCACUUACAUGCUGCUGAUAAAUACUACCCAAGACUGGGAAGAAAAAGAGGUUUAAUUGGACAUGGCUGGGGAGGCCUCAGAAUCGUGGCCGGAGGAGAAAGGCACUUCUUACAUGGCAGCAGCAAGAGAAAAUUAGGAAGAAGCAGAAGUGGAAACCCCUGAUAAACCCAUCAGAUCUCCUG